RNAcentral lists this ribosomal RNA (395 nucleotides) under uncultured bacterium. RNAcentral's name for it is "partial 16S ribosomal RNA". It matches the Rfam family "Bacterial small subunit ribosomal RNA", at positions 523 to 918 of the family's 1533-position model. The record is from RNAcentral.
AUACGUAGGGUGCAAGCGUUAAUCGGAAUUACUGGGCGUAAAGCGUGCGCAGGCGGUUUUGUAAGACAGAGGUGAAAUCCCCGGGCUCAACCUGGGAACUUCCUUUGUGACUGCAAGGCUGGAGUGCGGCAGAGGGGGAUGGAAUUCCGCGGGUAGCAGGGAAAUGCGUAGAUAUGCGGAGGAACACCGAUGGCGAAGGCAAUCCCCUGGGCCUGCACUGACGCUCAUGCACGAAAGCGUGGGGAGCAAACAGGAUUAGAUACCCUGGUAGUCCACGCCCUAAACGAUGUCAACUGGUUGUUGGGGAUUUAUUUUCUCAGUAACGAAGCUAACGCGUGAAGUUGACCGCCUGGGGAGUACGGCCGCAAGGUUAAAACUCAAAGGAAUUGACGGGG